CGCCGUCCUUCUGAAGAGGGUGCAGGAUGAUGUGCUCCCUGACCAUCACCCUGAGGGCCAAGUGUGGGUCUUCUUCUCCCUCGAAGCCCUGCAACACUACGACUGGAGGAUCCCAGAUGAAGCCAAACACAUUUACAACUGGACGAUGACGUAUCAUUCCUUCUCGGAUGUUGUUGUUCCCUAUGGACGCACUCUCCUCCUCCCUCCCCACGCCCAAAACCUCUCUUUAUCUUCAGAUAAAAGGAAUUAUUGGCAAGAGAAAAAUAAGGACGGGGUGCUAGUGGCGUGGAUGGUCAGUCACUGCCACACCGCCUCCAACAGGGAAGGGUAUGUCGAUAACCUUCAGAGGUAAGAAUCUGUUUUUAGAUUUUUAUUUUGCUUGUUUGUUUAUCUUUGG
This is a long non-coding RNA of Penaeus monodon (black tiger shrimp), 397 nucleotides long. RefSeq lists it as uncharacterized. NCBI's taxonomy places the organism in Eukaryota, Metazoa, Arthropoda, Malacostraca, Decapoda, Penaeidae. The transcript has 3 exons. The record is from RefSeq and is a predicted model, not a curated record.